UUAUUUGUAGUAUUAUCAUUAUAAUCACUACAAAUGAAAAAAAAUUUGACUACUUGAAACUAAUUGAAAAGAACCCUAAUUAUGAGGAAUAAUCGAAUAUUAAAUUUAUAUUUAGAAUUUCUCAAGGCUGAGUUUGUUUAUACUAGGAUAAUAAGGACAGGGCUGACAGGUUAACUGAUAAUCAUACGGAAAUCAUCUUCAUUAGAGCUGACCUAAAUGAUCCAGGACACACAUAUCUUAAGCUUUCGUUGCCAGAUUGGAUAUAUCUAUUAGCAGAAAAAGUAGCCUCCUCCUUAUGUAGAGAAGAAAAUCAUGUGGUUGUAUUCUGUAAAAACUUUGACCUCCAGCCAUUAUUUUUACACAAUUGUAGCUCAUAUUACAACGAAAUAAUGAUCCAGUAGUCCAAGAACAAUCUUUUUCUUAGUUACCUUCAUUUCAGAUUUCUGCUACAUCAUUAUCUUUGAUACAUAAAUUACAAGCUGAAAAUGUUAGAAACUAUGCCCUUGCCACCACCAAGAUGCAUCAAGAAACAGCUUAUUGUCUUCAGCUCUUCCAACAACUCUUUUAGUGAUUUGAAUGCUCAAAAAUGAUAAUAGACAUAAAGCAGUUGUUUUUACCAAAAAAAACGUAAAGUAGCUAACAGAGCAGACUUCCCUAGAAGAUAUCUCCUUGCUACUGCUGCCUGUCAAAGAUUAAAUCUAGGAUCCUAUUCAAAAUCAUCCAGUGUAUUUUCAAAAUGAAUUUAGUUCCUAUUAAACACAUACGAUAAUUCCAAAGUCCUAGAAGCACCAACUCUAAUAAAGAUGUUUUCCUCUUCUUCACAGAACUUUUUAGAUAAAAAUCCGCAUCACAAGAAUUGUGAAAUGCCUCAACAGUUCCUGUCCAAAAGAUGUUAUGAGCGAGGAUUUCUCUGUUUUAAAAGAAGACUAAUUAGAUUAAAAUUAUUUAUAUUUUCAACAUUUUAUUGUUACGAGUUGUCUUCUAGAACUGAAGAAGUCUUCACUCUAAGCGCCUGGAAAGUCAAUUCAAUUAUAAAUUAUAACAUUCUUAUCUUUGUUGAAACGUGACUGACUCACAAGGCCAAUUUUAGCUUCUCACGAUUCAUAGAGUUCAGAAAGGACAGAACUAAUUUAAAAGGUGGUGAAAUUCUAAUUCUCAUCUA
This is a long non-coding RNA of Frieseomelitta varia, 1162 nucleotides long. RefSeq lists it as uncharacterized. The transcript is spliced from 2 exons. Lineage: Eukaryota; Metazoa; Arthropoda; Insecta; Hymenoptera; Apidae. The record is from RefSeq and is a predicted model, not a curated record.